RNAcentral lists this long non-coding RNA (331 nucleotides) under Volvox carteri. Its description in RNAcentral is "long non-coding RNA (VCAR_LNC002894)". Lineage: Eukaryota; Viridiplantae; Chlorophyta; Chlorophyceae; Chlamydomonadales; Volvocaceae. The record is from RNAcentral.
GUACCAUGAUGAAUACGAAAGCACCCAGCACCAGUCCCCCGCGAGAGCAGCCGCCGCCGCCGCCGCCAAACAGACGUUGCAGCAGUCCAUUAUUGGCACCAUCGCCGCCGCCGGCACCGCCCCGCCGGCCGCGCGCUGCGCCCUUCGCCACAGCCCUCCGAGCCACAGCCCUCCCCGCGGCUCCAUCAUCAUCGCCGUCCUCACCGUCGUCCUGCUCUUCCUGCAGUUACGGCAAUGACAACAGGGUUUAAACGACCUUUUGUUUCCGUCGCAAAUGUUUCCGUCGUACUUGUCGUACCUGCUCGACCCAGAAGGUGAGGUUAAGGGUUUU